RNAcentral lists this ribosomal RNA (450 nucleotides) under uncultured bacterium. Its description in RNAcentral is "partial 16S ribosomal RNA". It matches the Rfam family "Bacterial small subunit ribosomal RNA", at positions 354 to 796 of the family's 1533-position model. The record is from RNAcentral.
GUGGGGAAUAUUGGACAAUGGGCGAAAGCCUGAUCCAGCCAUGCCGCGUGUGUGAAGAAGGUCUUCGGAUUGUAAAGCACUUUAAGUUGGGAGGAAGGGCAGUAAGUUAAUACCUUGCUGUUUUGACGUUACCGACAGAAUAAGCACCGGCUAACUUCGUGCCAGCAGCCGCGGUAAUACGAAGGGUGCAAGCGUUAAUCGGAAUUACUGGGCGUAAAGCGCGCGUAGGUGGUUUUGUAAGUUGGAGGUGAAAUCCCCGGGCUCAACCUGGGAACUGCAUCCAAAACUGGCGAGCUAGAGUACGGUAGAGGGUGGUGGAAUUUCCUGUGUAGCGGUGAAAUGCGUAGAUAUAGGAAGGAACACCAGUGGCGAAGGCGACCACCUGGACUGAUACUGACACUGAGGUGCGAAAGCGUGGGGAGCAAACAGGAUUAGAAACCCGUGUAGUCC